UUUUUGCGCAUAAAACAACAAACAUACAACCAAAAACCUUUUUUUGGUAGUCACUGACAUUACCAAAAUCAUCCGAAACGUUUUUACUGCAAUUGGUCAUUAAACUUUGUUGAUUUAUGUGCAAAAACGCUUAUUACAGUCAAAUACAUGAACCAAAUCAUGAAACCUUUUCCACUACAAUUGAACUAUGGCUGGAAAACUGCCACUAUGAUSGAUGUGAAUGUGACAAAGUGCAUGCUGAAUAUAUUGUCCUGCGAUUUCACGAGAUAAAGUUCAAUAGUUUUUUUCUUCCAAAAAGUAUACAUGAGCCCCAAUCUUGCAAGAAAUCCCAAAAGCUUGUUUCCAUGGAAUCCUCACUCACAAGAAAACUUGCUGUUAUGGGUUUGAUSAUUAGCCAAAACUGAAACAGAACAGCUACAGCCAACGUGACAACGGUACUAGAUAUGUAAUAAUACUGAGCAUAUAAUUAUAUUUAAUAAAACAAACUUCGAAGCGUU
Long non-coding RNA from Exaiptasia diaphana, 497 nucleotides. RefSeq lists it as uncharacterized. Lineage: Eukaryota; Metazoa; Cnidaria; Anthozoa; Actiniaria; Aiptasiidae. The transcript is spliced from 2 exons. The record is from RefSeq and is a predicted model, not a curated record.